CAGGACUCGCAAGACUCCUACAACCCUGUGAACCUACUAUACGAACGUUGCUUCGGCGGGUGCGCCCCGGGGAUUCGUUCCCGCGGAGCGUCAGCCCGCCGGCAGCCUACAAAUUCUGUUUCUUUGCGUUGGCAUCUCGAGAAAAACAAAUAAGUUA
RNAcentral lists this unclassified non-coding RNA (157 nucleotides) under soil metagenome. RNAcentral's name for it is "partial internal transcribed spacer 1". The record is from RNAcentral.